Molecule: ribosomal RNA, 269 nt
Filed under: uncultured prokaryote
Description: partial 16S ribosomal RNA
Rfam family: Archaeal small subunit ribosomal RNA
Source: RNAcentral
AACCAGCUCUUCGAGUGGUCAGGACGAAUAUUGGGUCUAAAGCGCUCGUAGCCGGACAAGUAGGUUUUUGGUUAAACCCGACAGCAUAACUGUUGGCCUGCUGGAAAUACCGCUAGUCUUGGAAGCGGGAGAGGACAGAGGUAGUCAUGGGGCAGGGGUGAAAUCCAGUGAUCCCAUGGCGACCACCGAUGGCGAAGGCAUCUGUCUGGAACGUAUUCGACGGUGAGGGCGAAAGCUAGGGGAGCGAGCCCGGAUUAGAUACCCUCGUA